CAGUAGCCGCGGUAAUACGUAGGUGGCAAGCGUUGUCCGGGAUUAUUGGGCGUAAAGGGCUCGCAGGCGGUUUCUUAAGUCUGAUGUGAAAGCCCCCGGCUCAACCGGGGAGGGUCAUUGGAAACUGGGAAACUUGAGUGCAGAAGAGGAGAGUGGAAUUCCACGUGUAGCGGUGAAAUGCGUAGAGAUGUGGAGGAACGCCAGUGGCGAAGGCGACUCUCUGGUCUGUAACUGACGCUGAGGAGCGAAAGCGUGGGGAGCGAACAGGAUUAGAUACCCCAGUAGUCCCUGUCUCUUAUAC
This 301-nucleotide ribosomal RNA is filed under the name uncultured bacterium. RNAcentral's name for it is "partial 16S ribosomal RNA". It matches the Rfam family "Bacterial small subunit ribosomal RNA", at positions 509 to 807 of the family's 1533-position model. The record is from RNAcentral.